Molecule: long non-coding RNA, 212 nt
Filed under: Homo sapiens (human)
Lineage: Eukaryota; Metazoa; Chordata; Mammalia; Primates; Hominidae
Description: HSALNT0066331
Source: RNAcentral
AUUUAAGUCAACAGAUGGAAGAGUGUCAUGGAAGGGUGCCUGUGAGGAAGAAACUGGAGCAAAAAAGAUGGAAACCCCAGCAAGGACGAUGAGUAAUGAAGAUUGCACCUUUGCAAUUUAUCUUCUCUCUCACAAAAUUAAUGCUGGAAUUCGAGAUUACUGUGGGGCUGUUUAUUAGUGAUGACAACUGUAUGGGCUUGGUUUGGAAAAUG